RNAcentral lists this ribosomal RNA (253 nucleotides) under uncultured bacterium. RNAcentral describes it as "partial 16S ribosomal RNA". It matches the Rfam family "Bacterial small subunit ribosomal RNA", at positions 524 to 776 of the family's 1533-position model. The record is from RNAcentral.
UACGUAGGGUCCGAGCGUUAAUCGGAAUUACUGGGCGUAAAGCGUGCGCAGGCGGUCUUGUAAGCCAGAUGUGAAAUCCCCGGGCUCAACCUGGGAACUGCAUUUGGGACUGCAAGGCUGGAGUACGGCAGAGGGAGGUGGAAUUCCACGUGUAGCAGUGAAAUGCGUAGAGAUGUGGAGGAACACCGAUGGCGAAGGCAGCCUCCUGGGCUAGUACUGACGCUCAUGCACGAAAGCGUGGGGAGCAAACAGG